RNAcentral lists this ribosomal RNA (497 nucleotides) under uncultured bacterium. RNAcentral describes it as "partial 16S ribosomal RNA". It matches the Rfam family "Bacterial small subunit ribosomal RNA", at positions 28 to 507 of the family's 1533-position model. The record is from RNAcentral.
GACGAACGCUGGCGGCGUGCCUAAUACAUGCAAGUUGAGCGCUGAAGGUUGGUACUUGUACCAACUGGAUGAGCAGCGAACGGGUGAGUAACGCGUGGGGAAUCUGCCUUUGAGCGGGGGACAACAUUUGGAAACGAAUGCUAAUACCGCAUAAAAACUUUAAACACAAGUUUUAAGUUUGAAAGAUGCAAUUGCAUCACUCAAAGAUGAUCCCGCGUUGUAUUAGCUAGUUGGUGAGGUAAAGGCUCACCAAGGCGAUGAUACAUAGCCGACCUGAGAGGGUGAUCGGCCACAUUGGGACUGAGACACGGCCCAAACUCCUACGGGAGGCAGCAGUAGGGAAUCUUCGGCCAUGGACGGAAGUCUGAACGAGCAACGCCGCGGGAGUGAAGAAGGGUUUCGGAUCGUAAAACUCUGUUGGUAGAGAAGAACGUUGGUGAGAGUGGAAAGCUCAUCAAGUGACGGUAACUACCCAGAAAGGGACGGCUAACUACGUG